Molecule: long non-coding RNA, 648 nt
Organism: Hyla sarda
Lineage: Eukaryota; Metazoa; Chordata; Amphibia; Anura; Hylidae
Exons: 3
Source: RefSeq, a predicted model, not a curated record
AAAAUGAAAGCAGGAUCUGAUUGGUUGCUAUGGGCAACUCAGCAACUUUUCCUCUGGACUGAUGCUGAAGUCAUUUACCGUUGCUGACGUCUAGAUCUGUAGGACAUAAACCAUGGAUCCUGUUGCAUUUAUGACCGGCAAUAAGCGGCCAUCAGCAGAAUGUCCUUUCCCGGGAGACCCUUUGAAGUUCUGACCCUUCUUUAUUGAGAAGAUAAUCUCUAGGUCUGGAUAAAAUCUUAAAAAGAUCUGCGUUUGGCCCUUGUAACCUUGCAGGGUAUCACAGAUUAGCAGAAUGUUUAGUUCCCUUUGAUGUGGUCUGACUGCAGGGAGAUGUCAGAGGUUUAGGAUAAGGUACAGGUCUCGAUGAAGAUGAUGAAGUAUAGUAAUGGGAGAACAAGAGGUGAAGAAUGAAAUGGCUCUGUCAUGGUCACCUGUGAGGCUGAAGAAUGCCGCUGUCAGUUUUGGGGCUGAGGGGCGAUUUGCGCACUUGAUGUGAGUUUUGUCCAUACGUCUCCCUGCAGCGCAACAGGACACAUUCUUUCUCGCUUUAUUUAAGGAAGCCAUACCCCAGCCUCUUCUGUGGUCCGAUGACCAUUAUCCACUUGAAGAUUACACGUACUACCCCCCCCCCCCCACAUGGACACCUUG